GAGACCAAGUGGUACUGUGUGUGGAGGAGUGGAACAGAGAAGAGGAAGGUUCUAGGUGGUGCGGUGCCAGCGGUACCCGGACCUGCCGCGCGGCCGGACGAGGUAGGGGUGAGUUUUAGAGCUCGCAGACACGCACCCCUCUGCCGCCGGUCUUUCUGCGUACCCCUUUGGGAUCGGCAGCAGUAGAGCGAGCAGGUCUAGACGAACCCAACCACCUCCAUACCGAUACCGCGACGCGUGGUACCGGCGCUUCGACUUCGUCUUCUAGAGGCGGCGACAGGUCACCCAAGCGCAGAGAAGAGUACGAGGCCGUGUACGACUAUGAUUGGAGCUGGGGAAACCGGAUCUCAAAGCGGCCCGUGACCUCUUCUAACAUCUCUUUGUGUCCUUCUCCGCCUCCUUGCUCCGGAACCGGACACGACGGCUGGAGAAGGACCCGAAGCGUUGGUCGAAGGUCGUCCAGAUGCGCGACCGCGUCACGCUGCAAAUGACGUCGUUGAUGCAGUGGGUCCGGCACGUCGCGUAGCGCCAGCUCACGCCGCCGCGGGGGAGGCCGGUCCAGAUGGAGCUGUUCACGAUGUAAUGGAUGUCGAUGAUGGGGGUGAUAAAGUAUUUACCAAGUAAUGUUAUCAAGAAAGACGUCAUUAAAGUCACAAAGUAUCUAAUUCUAAUGUAUACAUACAAGUACUUACUACUCAUCAAAGUCAGUAAAGGGUUGAACUUUCUUUGACCUUAUCCGUCAUCAUCCUGUUACUCAGUAGGACGUGAUCAUGUUCAUGUACUUGUUCAUCAUAACAUGCUCAGUCACAACUAAAACUUUAAACUACGAGAG
RNAcentral lists this ribosomal RNA (832 nucleotides) under Triticum aestivum (bread wheat). Its description in RNAcentral is "partial small subunit ribosomal RNA". Lineage: Eukaryota; Viridiplantae; Streptophyta; Magnoliopsida; Poales; Poaceae. The record is from RNAcentral.